Molecule: ribosomal RNA, 495 nt
Filed under: uncultured bacterium
Lineage: Bacteria
Description: partial 16S ribosomal RNA
Rfam family: Bacterial small subunit ribosomal RNA
Source: RNAcentral
GACGAACGCUGGCGGCGUGCCUAAUACAUGCAAGUAGAACGCUGAAGGAGGAGCUUGCUUCUCUGGAUGAGUUGCGAACGGGUGAGUAACGCGUAGGUAACCUGCCUGGUAGCGGGGGAUAACUAUUGGAAACGAUAGCUAAUACCGCAUAAGAGUAGAUGUUGCAUGACAUUUGCUUAAAAGGUGCAAUUGCAUCACUACCAGAUGGACCUGCGUUGUAUUAGCUAGUUGGUGGGGUAACGGCUCACCAAGGCGACGAUACAUAGCCGACCUGAGAGGGUGAUCGGCCACACUGGGACUGAGGCACGGCCCAGACUCCUACGGGAGGCAGCAGUAGGGAAUCUUCGGCAAUGGACGGAAGUCUGACCGAGCAACGCCGCGUGAGUGAAGAAGGUUUUCGGAUCGUAAAGAUCUGUUGUAAGAGAAGAACGAGUGUGAGAGUGGAAAGUUCACACUGUGACGGUAUCUUACCAGAAAGGGACGGCUAACUACGUG